Molecule: ribosomal RNA, 488 nt
Filed under: uncultured Lachnospiraceae bacterium
Lineage: Bacteria; Bacillati; Bacillota; Clostridia; Lachnospirales; Lachnospiraceae
Description: bacterial SSU rRNA
Rfam family: Bacterial small subunit ribosomal RNA
Source: RNAcentral
AGAGUUUGAUCCUGGCUCAGGAUGAACGCUGGCGGCGUGCUUAACACAUGCAAGUCGAACGGACUCAUAUUGAAACCUAGUGAUUUAUGAGUUAGUGGCGGACGGGUGAGUAACGCGUGGAUAACCUGCCGUAUACCGGGGGAUAACACUUAGAAAUAGGUGCUAAUACCGCAUAAGCGCACGGCUCCGCAUGGGGCAGUGUGAAAAACUCCGGUGGUAUACGAUGGAUCCGCGUCUGAUUAGCUAGUUGCGGGGGUAACGGCCCACCAAGGCAGCGAUCAGUAGCCGGCCUGAGAGGGUGGACGGCCACAUUGGGACUGAGACACGGCCCAAACUCCUACGGGAGGCAGCAGUGGGGAAUAUUGCACAAUGGGGGAAACCAUGAUGCAGCGACGCCGCGUGAGUGAAGAAGUAUCUCGGUACGUAAAGCUCUAUCAGCAGGGAAGAAAAUGACGGUACCUGACUAAGAAGCCCCGGCUAACUACGUG